CAAGAUGCCGGCGCACCUACAGAGAGAGGAGCCUGUGUGGCUGGAGGGCACCAAACUGUGUUGCCGCCCUUCGCCCACUGCUUCUGGCCAAGAGGCCAGUGACUUUGUAUGUGUGGAUGUAGGCCUGAGCAAACCACCUGAGCCCACCGUACCUAUACCUGUCCAAGACCCUGCACCCAACCCAGGCUGUCUGGCCCGCUGUUGGGCACGCUGUAGGGAAUGGCGUCGUGUAGCGCUGGUUUCCGUGCUGUUGCUGGUGCUGUUUUGUGUGGUACUCUGGCCUGUGCACUGUGCACUCAAAACUGGAAAUCUGCAUUGCAUUAACCGGCCACCUGCAGCCACUGUCACCAUCGCUGCCACCACCGAUGCCCUAUCCCUUGGGCUCUUAGCCAACAACUAGGGUCACCACUUGGGCCAGGCCAGCUAUUCCAAAAACUCCAUGGCUAGGUCUCUAAUACACUGAGGUCAGGAACACAGCAGCUUUUGAAGUUAGUUGGUCCCCCAGAACCCCAUAUAGGACACGUACAUGUUCCUCACUCUUCAGGACUAGAUGCCAACGAGGACAAAAAGAGUCCUCAAAGCCUCCAAGAACUUCUAAAGGCUCGAGAGACUGCCCUGGGAUCCUGUCAUACAGAUGGGGAAAGGAGCCCCGGGGACGUCUGGUCAGAUGUCUGGCCUCCCUGAACACACGGAACUGGCAAAACAGCAGGAGUUUGCCAUCCUUCCUUUCCUAAGACAUUGCUGGGGGUGCUGAGCAGCUGGUUAUCCAAGAGUGAGAGUGAAGAGGCAGGUCACCCUCUGCCCAUGCCACAGCGGGAACUUGCCAGCUGUCCCCAGCCAUUAUGAAUAGUACAUUUCAAAAUAAAUUAUUUUGUAUAAAUAUUAU
This 886-nucleotide long non-coding RNA is filed under the name Rattus norvegicus (Norway rat). RNAcentral describes it as "long non-coding RNA NONRATT022963". The record is from RNAcentral. Lineage: Eukaryota; Metazoa; Chordata; Mammalia; Rodentia; Muridae.